Molecule: ribosomal RNA, 253 nt
Filed under: uncultured bacterium
Lineage: Bacteria
Description: partial 16S ribosomal RNA
Rfam family: Bacterial small subunit ribosomal RNA
Source: RNAcentral
UACGGAGGGUGCAAGCGUUAUCCGGAAUGAUUGGGCGUAAAGCGUCCGCAGGUGGCUAUGUAAGUCUGCUGUUAAAGAGUGAGGCUCAACCUCAUAAGAGCAGUGGAAACUACAUGGCUAGAGUGCGUUCGGGGCAGAGGGAAUUCCUGGUGUAGCGGUGAAAUGCGCAGAUAUCAGGAAGAACACCCGUGGCGAAAGCGGCUCUCUGGAACGGUACUGACGCUGAGACGCGAAAGCGUGGGGAGCGAACAGG